This is a non-coding RNA of Cyanistes caeruleus (blue tit), 1053 nucleotides long. Lineage: Eukaryota; Metazoa; Chordata; Aves; Passeriformes; Paridae. The record is from RefSeq and is a predicted model, not a curated record.
GGUGGGAGGCAGGUCCCCACCCUGUUCCCACGGUGGGGAGGGUGGGUCUGCCCCCUGUUCCCAUGGUGGAGGGAGGGUAUCCCCGUCCUGCCACCCUGGGUGGGGAGUGAAUCCCCACCUGGCUCCUGUGGGGGUAGAACUGGGCCCCUCCCUGGACCCAGUGAGGGAGCCGGGCCCCCUGGCCCCUGUGGGGGUGGGGUGCCGGGGGGACCCAAGGGAUGGGGUCCCUGGGGAUGAUGAAGAAGCUAUAGCCUCAGCUGUUCCUGUUAUGUAUGUUGGUAAAACAAGGAUAAAUUGACACAACCAGCCCUUCUCUUACCAAAAUAUAAAAGAAAUCAGUAAAACCCAAAGAGAGUUUGGUAGAAAUAGUGAAAUCCUUAAAGGAAUGGUGAGACCUACUUUAACAUCUCAUGAGUUAGUUCCAGCCAAUCUCAGAGACCUCUUCUGCUGUCUCCUAACCUCCUCAAAGUUCAAUCUUUGGGACAACACAUGGAAGAGAUUCUUAAAAAGUCUCCUUGUUGAGCUCAAGCAAAGCACCCAGGAUGCAAAAGAUGCAGAUGAUAUUGAGGUCACAUUUGAACAUCUAUGUGGUGAGGGGAUGUGGACUAAACCUGAUGAGGACCAGGCUCGAGUGCUAACAAAAUCCAUUUUAGAUAAGAUCUGUGGCGUGGCAGAAAAGGUUUUUAACCAGUUGCCAGUGACUGAAACUCAGAGCAGCUAUGUUAACAUUAAACAGUUUCCCUCAGGAAGUUUUUUGCAGUUUGUCAACCGGCUUCAAGCACAAAUACAAAUGCAAGUGAAAGUAACAGUGGCACAGGCAGAGCUGAUUAAGGAGAUGGCUCAAAGGAAUGCCAACAAGGCCUACCACAGGGUGACUGCCGAUUGAUCCUCCAUCUACCAUAGCGCAGCUGAUAGAGGUCUACUCAUUGGGCAGUCAUUGGAGUAGACCUGCAGGACAAUUCACAAGAUGUGACAGGACUGGAUAUGACUGUAAUACCUGUUCUGACAGUACCAGUGGUCUGACUUUCCAGCUUUGACUGAAAAAAAAAAAAU